This 361-nucleotide long non-coding RNA is filed under the name Numida meleagris (helmeted guineafowl). RNAcentral's name for it is "lncRNA (ENSNMEG00000011887.1)". The record is from RNAcentral. Lineage: Eukaryota; Metazoa; Chordata; Aves; Galliformes; Numididae.
GACCACGGGAAACAAAAAGCAAUAUUAAAGUUGCUCAAAUAUAAAGUUUACACAUUAAUGUCUUUGUUCCUUCUCAUUCUUGUUAGGUUCAAUCCUACACAUGGUGAGAUUUUGAAAAUCAGCCUCUCCUUGAAAGGAAAAUCACAGGGCGAUAAGGAUCCAGCAGAACGGGAUGACGGUGAAUCCUGCCAGUGUGCUGUGAAUGUGAAGCAGGAGGGACCGGCAGUUUGUGUGCAGGAGGGAAAGCGAACAGGUCCAGGGCCCCCGGAUUAGCAGCCCAGGGAAAGCCAGAAGGUUUCUGCUGCGGCUUCAUUAGUAGUGAAGAGCAUCAGGCUGGUGCUGUGGUUGCACUGAGGUGUGA